RNAcentral lists this ribosomal RNA (303 nucleotides) under uncultured bacterium. RNAcentral's name for it is "partial 16S ribosomal RNA". It matches the Rfam family "Bacterial small subunit ribosomal RNA", at positions 507 to 809 of the family's 1533-position model. The record is from RNAcentral.
AGCAGUAGCCGCGGUAAUACGUAGGUGGCAAGCGUUGUCCGGAAUUAUUGGGCGUAAAGCGCGCGCAGGCGGAUCAGUCAGUCUGUCUUAAAAGUUCGGGGCUUAACCCCGUGAUGGGAUGGAAACUGCUGAUCUAGAGUAUCGGAGAGGAAAGUGGAAUUCCUAGUGUAGCGGUGAAAUGCGUAGAUAUUAGGAAGAACACCAGUGGCGAAGGCGACUUUCUGGACGAAAACUGACGCUGAGGCGCGAAAGCCAGGGGAGCGAACGGGAUUAGAGACCCCUGUAGUCCCUGUCUCUUAUACA